Long non-coding RNA from Mastomys coucha (southern multimammate mouse), 285 nucleotides. RefSeq lists it as uncharacterized. The transcript has 3 exons. The record is from RefSeq and is a predicted model, not a curated record. NCBI's taxonomy places the organism in Eukaryota, Metazoa, Chordata, Mammalia, Rodentia, Muridae.
AUUCUGAUCCAGUGGGAAAGGCCAGAAGCCAUAAAGGUAGAUCUGAUUGCAGAAGCGUGUGGCCAGGGUGUACAUCAAGAGGCCGGUGGUUGGUCUUUUGAUGUGGACUUUGUUGGUUAGCCAAUAUCUGAAGGAGAGAGAAAAAAAAAAGUUAGAAAAGGAACAAUAAAGUCUGAGAAGAGGCUCACUUGGACUCGGUCGAAGAGAGAUGGGAGGAAACACAGAGAAGUACAGAGAGCAGGAUGUUAAAUGAGGUGUCCUAGAUGACUUCCGGAAGGAUCACCA